UGGGGAAUUUUGGACAAUGGGCGCAAGCCUGAUCCAGCCAUGCCGCGUGAGUGAAGAAGGCCUUCGGGUUGUAAAGCUCUUUCGGCGGGGAAGAAAUGGUUUCGGUUAAUACCCGGAGCUGAUGACGGUACCCGCAUAAGAAGCACCGGCUAACUACGUGCCAGCAGCCGCGGUAAUACGUAGGGUGCGAGCGUUAAUCGGAAUUACUGGGCGUAAAGCGUGCGCAGGCGGUUUUGUAAGUCAGAUGUGAAAUCCCCGGGCUCAACCUGGGAACUGCAUUUGAGACUGCAAGGCUAGAGUGUAGCAGAGGGGGGUAGAAUUCCACGUGUAGCAGUGAAAUGCGUAGAGAUGUGGAGGAAUACCGAUGGCGAAGGCAGCCCCCUGGGUUACUACUGACGCUCAUGCACGAAAGCGUGGGGAGCAAACA
Molecule: ribosomal RNA, 427 nt
Filed under: uncultured bacterium
Lineage: Bacteria
Also listed under: 1 other name
Description: bacterial SSU rRNA
Rfam family: Bacterial small subunit ribosomal RNA
Source: RNAcentral